This 432-nucleotide unclassified non-coding RNA is filed under the name soil metagenome. RNAcentral's name for it is "partial contains 5.8S ribosomal RNA, internal transcribed spacer 2, and large subunit ribosomal RNA". The stretch from base 1 to 120 matches the Rfam family "5.8S ribosomal RNA", at positions 35 to 154 of the family's 154-position model. The record is from RNAcentral.
GAUGAAGAACGCAGCGAAAUGCGAUACGUAAUGUGAAUUGCAGAAUUCAGUGAAUCAUCGAAUCUUUGAACGCAUAUUGCGCUCUCUGGUAUUCCGGAGAGCAUGCUUGUUUGAGUAUCAGUAAACACCUCAACUUCCAUAUCUUUUUUGAAAUGGGAGUUGGACUUGAGUGAUCCCAACGCUUUUCCUCACCGAAAAGUGGCGGGUUACUUGAAAUGCAGGUGCAGCUGGACUUUUCUCUGAGCUAUAAGCAUAUCUAUUUAGUCUGCCUAAAAAACAGAUUAUUACCUUUGCUGCAGCUAACAUAAAGGAGAUUAGUUCUUGUGCUGACUGAUGCAGGAUUCACAAAGACAGCUUCGGCCGACUUUGUAAACUCGAUCUCAAAGCAAGUAAGACUACCCGCUGAACUUAAGCAUAUCAAUAAGCGGAGGA